UCCAGACAUGGGUUCCAGUGAAGGGUGAGGUUUCUGGUAAGUUUCCACCUGAUCCAGGCAGUGGGUGGAGAGCAGUGGAGACUCCGCCUCCAGAGACUACACCGCCUGCUUCCAAACCAUGUCCAUCAUCAGGUCCAAGACCCAAACUGCCAUCCAGGUGUACGGAUCCAUGGGCGACGCCCAGAUGGCUGAUGGACACCUGAAGAACAAGAGUGAGAAGAGCCGGCAGCGCCGCAGUUGCCGGAGGCCACCGCCGCCAAACUGAAGCAGAUCCUGGACCGGCUGAUGCGGACCAGAUCCGACGCCAAGACGCAGAUCUGGGGUCUGGAGGAGGAGCUGGAGAUCCUCAAGAAGAACAACCAGGAGGUGGACCCCACCAAGACCAUGGCCCAGAACACACAACUCCACCACACCAUCUACUCCAAGAAUCAGAAGGACCUGGAGGCCUUCCAGGCCAAGGUACCCACAUGACCUCACUUCCUGUGGCGGCAGACGUUAUUAGACGUCAGCGGGCCCUGAUGG
Sphaeramia orbicularis (orbiculate cardinalfish) is the source of this 522-nucleotide long non-coding RNA. RefSeq lists it as uncharacterized. Lineage: Eukaryota; Metazoa; Chordata; Actinopteri; Kurtiformes; Apogonidae. The record is from RefSeq and is a predicted model, not a curated record. The transcript is spliced from 4 exons.